RNAcentral lists this ribosomal RNA (492 nucleotides) under uncultured bacterium. RNAcentral's name for it is "partial 16S ribosomal RNA". It matches the Rfam family "Bacterial small subunit ribosomal RNA", at positions 29 to 507 of the family's 1533-position model. The record is from RNAcentral.
AGUGAACGCUGGCGGUAGGCCUAACACAUGCAAGUCGAACGGCAGCACAGUAAGAGCUUGCUCUUACGGGUGGCGAGUGGCGGACGGGUGAGGAAUACAUCGGAAUCUACUUUUUCGUGGGGGAUAACGUAGGGAAACUUACGCUAAUACCGCAUACGACCUACGGGUUAAAGCAGGGGAUCUUCGGACCUUGCGCGAUUGAAUGAGCCGAUGUCGGAUUAGCUAGUUGGCGGGGUAAAGGCCCACCAAGGCGACGAUCCGUAGCUGGUCUGAGAGGAUGAUCAGCCACACUGGAACUGAGACACGGUCCAGACUCCUACGGGAGGCAGCAGUGGGGAAUACUGGACAAUGGGCGCAAGCCUGAUCCAGCCAUACCGCGUGAGUGAAGAAGGCCUUCGGGUUGUAAAGCCCUUUUGUUGGGAAAGAAAAGCAGCAGGUUAAUACCCCGCUGUUCUGACGGUACCCAAAGAAUAAGCACCGGCUAACUUCGUG